UAUUGUCAGGAGAACAAACUGGGUACC
Molecule: non-coding RNA, 27 nt
Filed under: Rattus norvegicus (Norway rat)
Lineage: Eukaryota; Metazoa; Chordata; Mammalia; Rodentia; Muridae
Source: RNAcentral